UACGUAGGGUCCGAGCGUUAAUCGGAAUUAUUGGGCGUAAAGAGCUCGUAGGCGGCUUGUCGCGUCGGAUGUGAAAGCCCGGGGCUUAACUCCGGGUCUGCAUUCGAUACGGGCAGGCUAGAGUUCGGUAGGGGAGAUCGGAAUUCCUGGUGUAGCGGUGAAAUGCGCAGAUAUCAGGAGGAACACCGGUGGCGAAGGCGGGUCUCUGGGCCGAUACUGACGCUGAGGAGCGAAAGCGUGGGGAGCGAACAGG
Molecule: ribosomal RNA, 253 nt
Filed under: uncultured bacterium
Lineage: Bacteria
Description: partial 16S ribosomal RNA
Rfam family: Bacterial small subunit ribosomal RNA
Source: RNAcentral